Syngnathoides biaculeatus (alligator pipefish) is the source of this 3530-nucleotide RNA transcript. It is a transcript of the gene named heterogeneous nuclear ribonucleoprotein K, like, with no coding region annotated. The record is from RefSeq and is a predicted model, not a curated record. Lineage: Eukaryota; Metazoa; Chordata; Actinopteri; Syngnathiformes; Syngnathidae. The transcript has 15 exons.
GUGCGCUUGUUUUGAUUCCACAAGUGAGCCUCGUUUUCCCGAGGGGCGGGGCUGCUUUUUUUUCAUGGUGAAAGCAAGUGUUGGUGGUUUAUGUAAUAUUACAAUACGUUAGACGAGUGUAACCAGCUUGAUUAAGGUGACGUCACAAUUUUCACGGCACCAUAUUGCCGGUCAAGCAGAGCUGGUCGACAAUGUGGGAGACAUUGAACCGGAGGAGAAUAUUUACAAUACCCGAGACCUGUUGUGCUCUUGGUUGUCACGACAGACGAGACAGAUAUUCAAAGAGAUCAUUCUAUGGAAUACCAGCUGAAAAGACCAAAAAAUACCGAUGGAUUUCGGCAAUUAAACAUGAUGGUAAAAUGUCGCAGAGGUUCACGGAGGUUAAGCGCGGCCGCAAUCGCUUCCAUGUGAAAAAUACAAUGGAGGUGCAAAUUGACCACCAGGACGAAGAUUUCACCUUUAGCACUACUGAUACCAAUGGUAAGCGCCCGGCAGAGGACGCGGACGAGGAGCACGCUUUUAAGCGCUCGCGCAACGCCGACGAGAUGCUGGAGCUGCGCGUGUUGCUGCAGAGCAAAAACGCCGGCGCCGUUAUCGGAAAGGGCGGCAAGAACAUCAAAGCGCUGCGCUCCGACUACAAUGCCAGUGUAUCAGUCCCAGACAGCAGUGGCCCAGAGCGGAUCCUGAGCGUGAACGCCAACAUCGACACCAUCGGAGACAUUCUGCUGAAGAUCAUACCCACUUUAGAGGAGUACCAGCAUUACAGCGGCAUCGACUUCGACUGCGAGCUCCGCCUGCUGAUCCAUCAGAGCUUGGCGGGCGGCAUCAUCGGCGUGAAAGGAAGCAAGAUCAAGGAGCUGCGAGAGAAUACACAGACGACCAUCAAGCUAUUCCAAGACUGCUGUCCGCAUUCUACAGACAGAGUUGUGUCUGUUGGCGGGAAGCCGGAGCGAGUCGUGGAAUGCAUCAAAGUCAUCCUGGAGCUGGUGGCUGAGGCUCCGAUCAAAGGCCGCACGCAGCCUUACGACCCCAACUUCUACGACGAAACAUACGACUACGGCGGCUUCACCGUCAUGUUCGAGGAGAGGAGCCGAAGGCCCAUGGGGGGCUACCCCAUCCGCGUGCGGAGCAGCUUCGAGCGCCUCCCCCCCGUGCGCGGCAGCCGCCAACUGCCCACCUCGCGCCGGGACUACGACGAUUUGAGCCCCCGUCGGGGUCCGCCGCCGCCACUGAGCCGUGGACGUGUGGGCAGCCGAGCCCGCAACCUGCCACUCCCGCCGCCGCCACCUCCGCGAGGCGGUGACAGAUUCUCCCACAGCAGCUAUCACGACGACAGACCAAGUGACAGAAGAAGUCGCGGAGGAGAGCGCUACGACAGCAUGAGGCCUGCGGUUGCCCGGCAACACUCGUCUCCUUGGUUGCCUCGUGGCAAGCAACGUAUGCCGUCCGGAGAUCCGCCGGGCGAGCAAAGAGAGUCGUUCCUGUGCAGCGUGGCUUCAAAUUUAUCAUAAUUAAACCACCAUUUUGCCGUUAGUAAUUGGAUUAGGUGGAUUUAUGGCGUCAAACAGAGGCCAAAUGGGUGCGACCGGCGGAGGUCCGCUGACUCACAUUCAACUAAGACAUGACGUCAGCCAGAAAAAGUUUAAAAGUUAGUCUUCUUAAUAAUCCAAAGCGGGAAUUCAGAACAUUCUUUGAGAUAGAGGACCCCCACCCCCACCCAAAACUAAACUAAAAUACAGUGAAGAAAAUAGUAUUUGAACACCCUGCUAUGUUGCAAGUUCUCCCACUUAGAAAUCAUGGAGGGGUCUGAAAUUUUCUUCGUCGAGAGAUAAUCUAAAAAGAACAAUCCAGAAAUCACAAUGUAUGCUUUUUUUUUUUUUUUUUAAAUUUAUUUGUGUGAUACAGCUGCAAAUAAGUAUUUGAACACCUGAGAAAACCAAUCUUAGUAUUUGGUACAUUAGCCUUUGUUUGCGAUUACAAAGGUCAAACAUUUCCUGUAGUUGUUCACCAGGUUUGCAGACACUGCAGGAGGGAUUUUGGCCCACUCCUCCACACAGAUCUUCUCUAGAUGAGACAGGUUUCAGCUCCCUCCAAAGAUUUUCUAUUGGGUUUAGGUCUGGAGACUGGCUAGGCCGCUUCACUCUUAACCACAUUCUCAUUUGCUAUUCUUCUUACGGAGCCACUCCUUGAUUUUCCUGGCCUUGUGCUUCAGGUCAUUGUCAAGUUUGAAAGAUCCAAACACAACCCAUCUUCAAUGCUCUGACUGAGGGAAAGAAGUAGUUCCCCAAAAUCAUACAUUGUGAUUUCUGGAUUUUUCUUUUUAGGUUAUCUCUCUCAAAGUGGACAUGCACCUAGGAUGAAAAUUUCAGACCCCUCCAUGAUUUCUAAGUAGGAGAACUUGCAAUAUAGCAGGGUGUUCAAAUACUUAUUUUCUUCACUGUAUAUCGGUAACCAUCCAGGACAGAAUUUAGAUCUAAGACACUGGACAGUUUUUAUUCAGACACAAUGCAUAUCAUUAAAGGGAAGUAAACAUGAUCCUGAUAUUAAUCAAUAUCUGCACCGACAUUGGCAUUGAUAAUGCCAUAAUGUACAACCAGAUUGAUCCUGCUCUGACUUUUUGUAAAGACAAGGAACAACAUUUCCAAACAAGGCAAAUACAUGACAUCAGAUACAGUUUUCUGUUGCCGUUGCCAUUUUCCAACUCCCCUCACUCACCCCAACCACCACCGCGUCCCUGUGGUCCCGGUCACGUGACUUCCAAGUCGGACCACGGGUUCAGCCGAGCAGGCGUCAACCCACGAAUGGGUCCAAGGUCGUAAAAGUUAAGACUUGACCCAGUUAGAGUGUGUAUAAGAUAAGUUCUCCAUGCGAUUGUACUGUCAGAGACUUCGUUCCAAAGUUCAAGUUGUGCCAGAGGGACUGCAGGUGUGACAUUUCAGGUCAACAACGUGUGAAACAUUAAUAUGUGCGCGCGCGUCCGUCUGCAUGCCUUACCGCGGCCGUGUGUGCACCUGGAUUGAUUCCAGAUCCUCAGUUGGUCGAGUUAGUUAAUCUCAUCUGUCAGAAAUUAUAUAUAGAAUGAAUAUGAAGAUGAGUUAUUAUAAUUCCAAGUCUGACAGCGUGCCAUCUUUAAUCUGACACUAAACCAUCUUUUUCCUUCUUUCCUGUUCCUAAAAUACAGAGCGGAGGCGGUUAUGGUGAGUCUCACCAUUUGUGUUAAUCCAGAAUGCAUUCAAAUGAUUGAAUUUUUUUUUACCUGUUGUGGUUUUGGUCUUGAACGUAUCCCCGCUAUAAAUGGGGGUGGGGGGGGUUGUUCAACUGUACAAGUAAUGUGGGAAGUGUAAAAAUAAACCUUUUAUCUUCUGUUCUGAUGUUUUCAAGAUAACAAUUCCUGGGAUCACUUUCAUUCUGGUGGCCGAGGCUCAUACGGUGACAUCGGCGGUCCCGUCAUCACCACGCAGGUCACCAUCCCCAAAGACCUCGCCGGCUCCAUCAUUGGCAAGGGCGGCCAGAGGAUCAAGCAGAUCCGC